Molecule: small nuclear RNA, 24 nt
Filed under: Arabidopsis thaliana (thale cress)
Lineage: Eukaryota; Viridiplantae; Streptophyta; Magnoliopsida; Brassicales; Brassicaceae
Description: snRNA_02678
Source: RNAcentral
UUGGAUGGAUCAUCUGGAUGAUAC